RNAcentral lists this transfer RNA (75 nucleotides) under Halococcoides cellulosivorans. RNAcentral's name for it is "Haloarculaceae archaeon HArcel1 tRNA-Met". It matches the Rfam family "tRNA". Rfam says of the family: Transfer RNA (tRNA) molecules are approximately 80 nucleotides in length. Their secondary structure includes four short double-helical elements and three loops (D, anti-codon, and T loops). Lineage: Archaea; Methanobacteriati; Methanobacteriota; Halobacteria; Halobacteriales; Haloarculaceae. The record is from RNAcentral.
GGGCCCUUAGCUCAGUCUGGUGAGAGCGCUCGGCUCAUAACCGAGUGGUCGGUGGUUCGAAUCCGCCAGGGCCCA